This 22-nucleotide non-coding RNA is filed under the name Arabidopsis thaliana (thale cress). Lineage: Eukaryota; Viridiplantae; Streptophyta; Magnoliopsida; Brassicales; Brassicaceae. The record is from RNAcentral.
AUACCAUGGUUUCUUUAUUCCU